AUUGAACGCUGGCGGCAGGCCUAACGCAUGCAAGUCGAGCGGAUGAAGGGAGCUUGCUCCUGGAUUCAGCGGCGGACGGGUGAGUAAUGCCUAGGAAUCUGCCUGGUAGUGGGGGAUAACGUCCGGAAACGGGCGCUAAUACCGCAUACGUCCUGAGGGAGAAAGUGGGGGAUCUUCGGACCUCACGCUAUCAGAUGAGCCUAGGUCGGAUUAGCUAGUUGGUGGGGUAAAGGCCUACCAAGGCGACGAUCCGUAACUGGUCUGAGAGGAUGAUCAGUCACACUGGAACUGAGACACGGUCCAGACUCCUACGGGAGGCAGCAGUGGGGAAUAUUGGACAAUGGACGAAAGCCUGAUCCAGCCAUGCCGCGUGUGUGAAGAAGGUCUUCGGAUUGUAAAGCACUUUAAGUUGGGAGGAAGGGCAGUAAGUUAAUACCUUGCUGUUUUGACGUUACCAACAGAAUAAGCACCGGCUAACUUCGUG
This 484-nucleotide ribosomal RNA is filed under the name uncultured bacterium. RNAcentral's name for it is "partial 16S ribosomal RNA". It matches the Rfam family "Bacterial small subunit ribosomal RNA", at positions 30 to 507 of the family's 1533-position model. The record is from RNAcentral.